CGAAGUAAAGCAAAUGUGUGGCAAGAUGUUAAAGGCUCAGAAAGAAACGCACUUCAUGCAGCUACAGUGAUCCUGAGUGCUCUUUGCAAGCCACCAGCUGCCUCAUCCGAUGGACAAACACUACCUGGGCUCAUCAUGUGCAUGACAAUGAUGAGCAUGUUUGGUUGCAUGCUGAUAGCUUGGUUGGCCAGAAGAACACGAUGUCUGAGGAGAGAGCAAGAGGGCGAGGGAGGAUUCAACACCGGCCCCGUGGUGAGUGACACUGUCGAGACGCCUGCGCAAAAGGGAAGGCAUGUGAGUCAAGAGGGGAGUGGAAAGAGGGAGAAACUGAUAGAGAGGGUGAUGUAGAUAAGGGGCGCAGGCCGUGAAAGAGAAAGAGGAGCUUUGGAGGAUUAACGGGGGAGCUGAAUUUGGAGGGCAGACGAGGCCAGCAGACAGCAGCUGGGGGAGGCCUGGAUCACAUCAGAUUGGUUAAAAUGUGAACUUUGUUUCGCAGAUGGGCUUCCUUUGAACUCACAGACAGGGUUAUUGAAAUGGUUUAGUUACAUGCUUUACUAUAAAAAAAACAAAACAAACAUAUAUAUGAAUCUGUGAACGUUCGAGAAAAAAAUGACCAGUGACAGAUUGUUCUUGAAGAAAAUGUAUUAACCUUAAAAGACAUUUAAUGCAGGGUCAAGUGAGACUAUAAAUAAUUCCCCAAAGAUUGUAGGUGCUGCAGUGUCGAGUGACCAGAUUAUCUGAUUGUCUGGUUGUUGCUGUUCCACACAUGCUUUGCAUCAGGAAAAACAAAAGCCUUCUGAAUGUAACAACUGGAGGCUGUUACUUUUGCUUUAAUCCUCCUGUAAGGCUACAAAAGAUUUUCACAGAUUUUAACCAAUUAUUGUGAACAAAUUAAUUAAUGGCAACAAUGUUAUCACAACCUCUGUAUUGUCUUUACAGGCAAAUGAGCUGUCUGCAUACAUAGCUGUACAAAUAGCAUAAAAAAGAACAACUAGUCAGAUAUUUACAAUAAUUUAUGAUAUGUGCAUUAAGACAAUAUGCAUGUGUCAUCAUUUAUAAAUAUCAUAUAGUAACACUGGUCCUGGACCAGUUUACAUAGUGACAUGAAUCACAACUCAUUUGUGGAUUGUUCAGCUUUUAUUGUGAUAGGAGAAAACAGGAAAGCUGGCAGAACCCUAAAUAAAUUGCACAAUACAUUUUUAAGCCAUAGAUUGAAAAAAAAAUGCUGGAUGUAGUAAAUAUGAUAUAAAUUAAAACCCAUAUAUGCAAAUUCAUCUGCCAGGAGGUUCAAUAAACAUUUAAUUUUUCAAAACAAAUAAAAAUAAAAAAAAAUAGAAAA
This is a long non-coding RNA of Pelmatolapia mariae (spotted tilapia), 1339 nucleotides long. RefSeq lists it as uncharacterized. The record is from RefSeq and is a predicted model, not a curated record. NCBI's taxonomy places the organism in Eukaryota, Metazoa, Chordata, Actinopteri, Cichliformes, Cichlidae. The transcript has 2 exons.